UUAAAUUGAAGAGUUUGAUCAUGGCUCAGAUUGAACGCUGGCGGCAGGCCUAACACAUGCAAGUCGAACGGUAACAGGAAACAGCUUGCUGUUUCGCUGACGAGUGGCGGACGGGUGAGUAAUGUCUGGGAAACUGCCUGAUGGAGGGGGAUAACUACUGGAAACGGUAGCUAAUACCGCAUAAUGUCGCAAGACUAAAGAGGGGGACCUUCGGGC
RNAcentral lists this ribosomal RNA (216 nucleotides) under Shigella sonnei. RNAcentral's name for it is "partial 16S ribosomal RNA". It matches the Rfam family "Bacterial small subunit ribosomal RNA", at positions 1 to 214 of the family's 1533-position model. Lineage: Bacteria; Pseudomonadati; Pseudomonadota; Gammaproteobacteria; Enterobacterales; Enterobacteriaceae. The record is from RNAcentral.